CUCCCUCUGAUCCAACCUGGAAUCUUCCAGACUGAGGGGUCAGGAAUACUGCACAGAUGUGGAGUUCACUGAGUGCACUGCAACAGUACAGUAUAUGAUGAAUGCAGUAACACCUAGGGGCUAAGCUGGUAGAAAGAGAAGUUCCGGUCCCCACAAUUUCUAAUGGCAGCCCUGUAUUUCUGAAGUGAACAAAGUAUCAAGGCAGUGAGGAACUCAUUGGAGACUCCCAAAACAGUACAGCAUUUUCCCGUAUUGUGCCCACUUCCAUAGUGUCUCGCAGACGCCCUCCUCCUCAUCCACAAACUCCUUCCAAGUCGGACGGUCAUGACGUUGGUAUGUUGCAACUUAUCCUAACAAUAAACUUUAUCGG
Molecule: long non-coding RNA, 370 nt
Organism: Pseudophryne corroboree (corroboree frog)
Lineage: Eukaryota; Metazoa; Chordata; Amphibia; Anura; Myobatrachidae
Exons: 3
Source: RefSeq, a predicted model, not a curated record